Molecule: unclassified non-coding RNA, 298 nt
Organism: Callithrix jacchus (white-tufted-ear marmoset)
Lineage: Eukaryota; Metazoa; Chordata; Mammalia; Primates; Cebidae
Rfam family: Metazoan signal recognition particle RNA
About the family: The signal recognition particle (SRP) is a universally conserved ribonucleoprotein. It is involved in the co-translational targeting of proteins to membranes. The eukaryotic SRP consists of a 300-nucleotide 7S RNA and six proteins: SRPs 72, 68, 54, 19, 14, and 9.
Source: Ensembl
GCUGGGCACGGUGGUGCGUGCCUGUAGUCCCAGCUACUCGGGAGGCUAAGGCUGGAGGAUCGCUUGAGCCCAGGAGUUCUGGGCUGUAGUGAACUAUGCCGAUUGGGUGUCCGCACUAAGUUCGGCAUCAAUAUGGUGACCUCUCGAGAGCAGGGGACCACCAGUUGCCUAAGGAAGGGUGAACCAGCCCAGGUCGGAAACAGAGCAGGUCAAAACUCCAUGCUGAUCAGCAGUGGGAUCGCGCCUGUGAAUAGCCACUGCCCUCCAGCCUGGACAACAUAGCAAGACCCCUUCUCUU